RNAcentral lists this ribosomal RNA (405 nucleotides) under uncultured bacterium. Its description in RNAcentral is "partial 16S ribosomal RNA". It matches the Rfam family "Bacterial small subunit ribosomal RNA", at positions 33 to 526 of the family's 1533-position model. The record is from RNAcentral.
GAUGACGCUGGCGGCGUGCCUAAUACAUGCAAGUCGAGCGAGCGGCGGACGGGUGAGUAAUGUCUGGGAAAAUGCCCGAUGGAGGGGGAUAACUACUGGAAACGGUAGCUAAUACCGCAUACCAUCGGAUGUGCCCAGAUGGGAUUAGCUAGUAGGUGGGGUAACGGCUCACCUGGGCGACGAUCCCUAGCUGGACUGAGCGGAUGACCAGCCACACGGGAACUGAGACACGUUCCAGACUCCUACGGGAGGCAGCAGUGGGGAAGAUUGCACAAUGGGCGCAAGCCUGAUGCAGCCAUGCCGCGUGUAUGAAGAAGGCCUUCGGGUUGUAAAGUACUUUCAGCGAGGAGGCGUUACUCGCAGAAGAAGCACCGGCUAACUCCGUGCCAGCAGCCGCGGUAAUAC